RNAcentral lists this ribosomal RNA (554 nucleotides) under Equus caballus (horse). RNAcentral's name for it is "partial large subunit ribosomal RNA". It matches the Rfam family "Bacterial large subunit ribosomal RNA", at positions 1816 to 2597 of the family's 2925-position model. The record is from RNAcentral. Lineage: Eukaryota; Metazoa; Chordata; Mammalia; Perissodactyla; Equidae.
CACCUCUAGCAUUUCCAGUAUUAGAGGCACUGCCUGCCCAGUGACAUCUGUUUAAACGGCCGCGGUAUCUUAACCGUGCAAAGGUAGCAUAAUCACUUGUUCCCUAAAUAGGGACUUGUAUGAAUGGCCACACGAGGGUUUUACUGUCUCUUACUUCCAAUCAGUGAAAUUGACCUUCCCGUGAAGAGGCGGGAAUGACUAAAUAAGACGAGAAGACCCUAUGGAGCUUUAAUUAACUGAUUCACAAAAAACAACACACAAACCUAACCUUCAGGGACAACAAAACUUUUGAUUGAAUCAGCAAUUUCGGUUGGGGUGACCUCGGAGAACAAAACAACCUCCGAGUGAUUUAAAUCCAGACUAACCAGUCAAAAUAUAUAAUCACUUAUUGAUCCAAACCAUUGAUCAACGGAACAAGUUACCCUAGGGAUAACAGCGCAAUCCUAUUCCAGAGUCCAUAUCGACAAUUAGGGUUUACGACCUCGAUGUUGGAUCAAGACAUCCUAAUGGUGCAACCGCUAUUAAGGGUUCGUUUGUUCAACGAUUAAGGUCUU